UGCAUACAUGACUGUAAAUCGCUUUGGAUAAAAGCAUCUGAUAAAUGGAAUAUA
This is a non-coding RNA of Salmo salar (Atlantic salmon), 54 nucleotides long. The record is from Rfam. Lineage: Eukaryota; Metazoa; Chordata; Actinopteri; Salmoniformes; Salmonidae.